UGUAAUGAGUACUCAGCUGACGAAUUGGCGGCCGUUAUCAACCUUUAUUGAUUUGUGACACAAAAAUUUACAAAAUAUUUCUUCCAACAUUUUAAUUAUUUGUAUUUCUGUUGAUCGGCCAUUCCAAAGUAACGGAAAAGACAUAUUGACCUUGUUUCCAAUUAAUCUCGUUGAAGAAGCAAUCUUUUUUCUUGAAACUUGGUAGGUCUUAAGGGCUCAUGAUAAAGUUGAUAUAAUGAUAUUCUAGGAGUUUGCUUCUUCAACGUGAAAAUGUCCUAAAAAUGCAAAUGGAAUGGCCGUGAUGAUAUUUUUGUGAUGAACUUCGUUUCCUUACAUAAAGAAUAAUAAUCUAUUAAGACAAAUACGAAAUCAUGAUUUGGUAAUGGACCUCGUAAAUCAAUAGAUUGACAUUGCCAACGUCCGCCUGGAAAUAUAUAACGUUUAAUCGGUACCGGCCGUUCAGGUUGAGAAACCAAUAGAUAUUUUCGACAAUUGGGCUUUUAACCCAAACGUCAGUGUCGAAGAAAAAAAAAAAAAACAGAAAAAACAAAUUUUGACAUUUCAAUUUUGAGGAAAAGUGGCUUGUAUUAUGCAUGUAUGCUUUUGUUUUCCUCAGAAUUGAUUUGAUCAGAUUGGUUGGUUUUUUCUUGUACUUCUUUAAUAAACAGUUAUGAUAGAAAAGAAAAAGACAAAGACAGAUUGCUUAAAAGCCCAAUUCUUCACAAAACUCUCAAUCUGUCCAUUGUUGGCCACCAAACUCUUACACAAUUUUGUUAUUACAAUUUAAAGUGGGUGACCCUCAUGUGGAAAUGCCCACACAUUCCAAGCCCUUAAAUUAACAGAUUUAGUUUUUUUGUUAAAAUUUUAUUAGUCUUGCCAAGGCCAAUCAAUAUUAGAUGCACAUAUUUUGGCAAAAUCUUUACUUCACGGAUUGGUAUAAGCAACCUUUGAAUUUUAGAAAGGCAACGAUCUUCGCAUCGUUAGUAACUCAAAAAGACUACUAUAUGAUGGCUGGAAAACUUAUGACUCUGUCACGCGAGACCGAAAAAAAGAUAAUUCAAGCUAUUUUUACAUAUUACACGUUUUUGCUGCAGUUGAAUUCAUAAUGUUUCAAAUAACAAGAGCCGGAAAACCUGAAACCACUAAAAACCACUAAAAGACACAAAUUGUAUCACAUAUCCUGUGGUAGAAAAUAAAAUAUAUAUAUUUACAAAUAUAAGCAAACCAAUAAAACAUAAUAAACGAUUUUCAUAAAAAUGUUUCAAUUACCUACUUAUUUAGCUAAGGAAUAAUUUCUGU
Molecule: long non-coding RNA, 1299 nt
Organism: Episyrphus balteatus (marmalade hoverfly)
Lineage: Eukaryota; Metazoa; Arthropoda; Insecta; Diptera; Syrphidae
Exons: 3
Source: RefSeq, a predicted model, not a curated record